Molecule: ribosomal RNA, 163 nt
Filed under: uncultured bacterium
Lineage: Bacteria
Description: partial 16S rRNA
Rfam family: Bacterial small subunit ribosomal RNA
Source: RNAcentral
UAGGGAAUCUUCCACAAUGGGNGAAGCCUGAUGGAGCAACGCCGCGUGUGUGAUGAAGGGUUUCGGCUCGUAAAACACUGUUGUAAGAGAAGAAUGACAUUGAGAGUAACUGUUCAAUGUGUGACGGUAUCUUACCAGAAAGGAACGGCUAAAUACGUGCCAG